Molecule: long non-coding RNA, 286 nt
Filed under: Mytilus galloprovincialis (Mediterranean mussel)
Lineage: Eukaryota; Metazoa; Mollusca; Bivalvia; Mytilida; Mytilidae
Source: RNAcentral
GGUUGUUGUUGGUUGCUGUUUAUCAGCAACUUUUUAAUAUAAUUCAGUUUGUUAGUUUCCUCAUUUGAAUUGAUUUAAUAUUGGUCUUUUUGGGCCCUUUAAUUGUUUGCUAACAGUUAUGUUUUUUUCUUAUUUUUGAAGGCAGUAUGGUGACAUAAUAAGUUGCUCACCUGUUAUUUCUCAGGUUGAGUUAUCUCAUUAGCAAUCAAACCACAUCUUUUUAUUUUCAUAUACAUGUAGUAAUUAAAUUAGGAUGUCCUUUGAUUUUGGUGACAUUAGGUUGCUG